This 497-nucleotide ribosomal RNA is filed under the name uncultured bacterium. RNAcentral's name for it is "partial 16S ribosomal RNA". It matches the Rfam family "Bacterial small subunit ribosomal RNA", at positions 28 to 507 of the family's 1533-position model. The record is from RNAcentral.
GAUGAACGCUGGCGGCGUGCCUAAUACAUGCAAGUCGAGCGAACAGACGAGGAGCUUGCUCCUCUGGCGUUAGCGGCGGACGGGUGAGUAACACGUGGAUAACCUACCUAUAAGACUGGGAUAACUUCGGGAAACCGGAGCUAAUGCCGGAUAAUAUAUUGAACCGCAUGGUUCAAUAGUGAAAGACGGUUUUGCUGUCACUUAUAGAUGGAUCCGCGCCGCAUUAGCUAGUUGGUAAGGUAACGGCUUACCAAGGCAACGAUGCGUAGCCGACCUGAGAGGGUGAUCGGCCACACUGGAACUGAGACACGGUCCAGACUCCUACGGGAGGCAGCAGUAGGGAAUCUUCCGCAAUGGGCGAAAGCCUGACGGAGCAACGCCGCGUGAGUGAUGAAGGUCUUCGGAUCGUAAAACUCUGUUAUUAGGGAAGAACAAAUGUGUAAGUAACUAUGCACGUCUUGACGGUACCUAAUCAGAAAGCCACGGCUAACUACGUG